CGUAUACCACCGGGCAUCUCGAAACUCCCGAGGACCCUCCGGGCAUGCAUCAUGAUACAACCGGGCAUCCAGCACAAACCUCUUGGCAUGUAUCAUGACACAACUGGGCAUCCGGCACUCCCUAGCCAGGCAUCCCGACACUCCCGGGGCAUCGUCGGCUCACACCUCCGAUGGCAUUCUCAUUUAUCAUAGUUUAUAUUCACAAUUGUGGCUCAAUUUCAACAUGGCAUAUAAUGUGAUGGCAAACAAGAUCAUUUUCAUCAUU
Molecule: long non-coding RNA, 265 nt
Filed under: Eucalyptus grandis
Lineage: Eukaryota; Viridiplantae; Streptophyta; Magnoliopsida; Myrtales; Myrtaceae
Description: long non-coding RNA (EGRA_LNC003743)
Source: RNAcentral